ACCGAGUCUUAACUGGGCGUUAAGUUGCAGGGUAUAGACCCGAAACCCGGUGAUCUAGCCAUGGGCAGGUUGAAGGUUGGGUAACACUAACUGGAGGACCGAACCGACUAAUGUUGAAAAAUUAGCGGAUGACUUGUGGCUGGGGGUGAAAGGCCAAUCAAACCGGGAGAUAGCUGGUUCUCCCCGAAAGCUAUUUAGGUAGCGCCUCGUGAAUUCAUCUCCGGGGGUAGAGCACUGUUUCGGCAAGGGGGUCAUCCCGACUUACCAACCCGAUGCAAACUGCGAAUACCGGAGAAUGUUAUCACGGGAGACACACGGCGGGUGCUAACGUCCGUCGUGAAGAGGGAAACAACCCAGACCGCCAGCUAAGGUCCCAAAGUCAUGGUUAAGUGGGAAACGAUGUGGGAAGGCCCAGACAGCCAGGAUGUUGGCUUAGAAGCAGCCAUCAUUUAAAGAAAGCGUAAUAGCUCACUGGUCGAGUCGGCCUGCGCGGAAGAUGUAACGGGGCUAAACCAUGCACCGAAGCUGCGGCAGCGACACUGUGUGUUGUUGGGUAGGGGAGCGUUCUGUAAGCCUGUGAAGGUGUGCUGUGAGGCAUGCUGGAGGUAUCAGAAGUGCGAAUGCUGACAUAAGUAACGAUAAAGCGGGUGAAAAGCCCGCUCGCCGGAAGACCAAGGGUUCCUGUCCAACGUUAAUCGGGGCAGGGUGAGUCGACCCCUAAGGCGAGGCCGAAAGGCGUAGUCGAUGGGAAACAGGUUAAUAUUCCUGUACUUGGUGUUACUGCGAAGGGGGGACGGAGAAGGCUAUGUUGGCCGGGCGACGGUUGUCCCGGUUUAAGCGUGUAGGCUGGUUUUCCAGGCAAAUCCGGAAAAUCAAGGCUGAGGCGUGAUGACGAGGCACUACGGUGCUGAAGCAACAAAUGCCCUGCUUCCAGGAAAAGCCUCUAAGCAUCAGGUAACAUCAAAUCGUACCCCAAACCGACACAGGUGGUCAGGUAGAGAAUACCAAGGCGCUUGAGAGAACUCGGGUGAAGGAACUAGGCAAAAUGGUGCCGUAACUUCGGGAGAAGGCACGCUGAUAUGUAGGUGAAGUCCCUCGCGGAUGGAGCUGAAAUCAGUCGAAGAUACCAGCUGGCUGCAACUGUUUAUUAAAAACACAGCACUGUGCAAACACGAAAGUGGACGUAUACGGUGUGACGCCUGCCCGGUGCCGGAAGGUUAAUUGAUGGGGUCAGCGCAAGCGAAGCUCUUGAUCGAAGCCCCGGUAAACGGCGGCCGUAACUAUAACGGUCCUAAGGUAGCGAAAUUCCUUGUCGGGUAAGUUCCGACCUGCACGAAUGGCGUAAUGAUGGCCAGGCUGUCUCCACCCGAGACUCAGUGAAAUUGAACUCGCUGUGAAGAUGCAGUGUACCCGCGGCAAGACGGAAAGACCCCGUGAACCUUUACUAUAGCU
RNAcentral lists this ribosomal RNA (1452 nucleotides) under Escherichia coli. RNAcentral describes it as "partial 23S ribosomal RNA". It matches the Rfam family "Bacterial large subunit ribosomal RNA", at positions 676 to 2111 of the family's 2925-position model. The record is from RNAcentral. Lineage: Bacteria; Pseudomonadati; Pseudomonadota; Gammaproteobacteria; Enterobacterales; Enterobacteriaceae.